RNAcentral lists this ribosomal RNA (253 nucleotides) under uncultured bacterium. RNAcentral's name for it is "partial 16S ribosomal RNA". It matches the Rfam family "Bacterial small subunit ribosomal RNA", at positions 524 to 776 of the family's 1533-position model. The record is from RNAcentral.
UACGUAGGGUGCGAGCGUUAAUCGGAAUUACUGGGCGUAAAGCGUGCGUGGGCGGUUCGUUAAGUUGGUUGUGAAAGCCCCGGGCUCAACCUGGGAAUGGCAAUGGAAACUGGCGGGCUGGAGUAUGGCAGAGGGGGGUGGAAUUCCGCGUGUAGCAGUGAAAUGCGUAGAGAUGCGGAGGAACACCGAUGGCGAAGGCAGCCCCCUGGGCCAAUACUGACGCUCAGGCACGAAAGCGUGGGGAGCAAACAGG